GCAGCAGUGGGGAAUUUUCCGCAAUGGGCGAAAGCCUGACGGAGCAACGCCGCGUGAGGGACGAAGGCCUCUGGGCUGUAAACCUCUUUUCUCAAGGAAGAAGAUAUGACGGUACUUGAGGAAUAAGCCACGGCUAAUUCCGUGCCAGCAGCCGCGGUAAUACGGGAGUGGCAAGCGUUAUCCGGAAUUAUUGGGCGUAAAGCGUCCGCAGGCGGCCUUUCAAGUCUGCUGUUAAAGCGUGGAGCUUAACUCCAUUAUGGCAGUGGAAACUGAUCGGCUUGAGUAUGGUAGGGGCAGAGGGAAUUCCCGGUGUAGCGGUGAAAUGCGUAGAUAUCGGGAAGAACACCAGUGGCGAAGGCGCUCUGCUGGGCCAUUACUGACGCUCAUGGACGAAAGCCAGGGGAGCGAAAGGGAUUAGAUACCCCUGUAGUCCUGGCCGUAAACGAUGAACACUAGGUGUCGGGGGAAUCGACCCCUUCGGUGUCGUAGCUAACGCGUCAAGUGUACCGCC
RNAcentral lists this ribosomal RNA (511 nucleotides) under uncultured cyanobacterium. RNAcentral's name for it is "bacterial SSU rRNA". It matches the Rfam family "Bacterial small subunit ribosomal RNA", at positions 348 to 873 of the family's 1533-position model. Lineage: Bacteria; Bacillati; Cyanobacteriota. The record is from RNAcentral.